GCCGGGCGUGGUGGUGGACAUCUGUAAUCCCAGCUACUCAGGAGGCUGAGGCAGGAGAAUCGCUUGAACCCAGGAGAUGGAGCUUGCAGUGAGCCAAGAUCACGCCACUGCACUACAGCCUGGGCAACAGAGUGAGAUUCCGUCUCAAAAAAAAAAAAAAAUGUAAUUUCUUUUGAGACAGGGUCUCGCUCUGUUGCCCAGGCUGGAGUGCAGUGGCGUGAUCUUGGCUCACUGCAAACUUGACCACCUGGGCUCAAGCGAUCCUCCUGCCUCAU
This 275-nucleotide signal recognition particle RNA is filed under the name Pongo abelii (Sumatran orangutan). It matches the Rfam family "Metazoan signal recognition particle RNA". From Rfam's summary of the family: The signal recognition particle (SRP) is a universally conserved ribonucleoprotein. The record is from RNAcentral. Lineage: Eukaryota; Metazoa; Chordata; Mammalia; Primates; Hominidae.